UCCCUGGUGGCUCAGCUGGUAGAGAAUCUGCCUGCAAUGCAGGAGACUUGGGUUUGAUCCCUGGGUUGGGAA
Molecule: transfer RNA, 72 nt
Filed under: Bos taurus (domestic cattle)
Lineage: Eukaryota; Metazoa; Chordata; Mammalia; Artiodactyla; Bovidae
Also listed under: 5 other names
Rfam family: tRNA
About the family: Transfer RNA (tRNA) molecules are approximately 80 nucleotides in length. Their secondary structure includes four short double-helical elements and three loops (D, anti-codon, and T loops).
Source: Rfam by way of RNAcentral